AAACAACUAAAAAAGAAAAUCAACCUUCUGUGGCAGCAUCUGCUCAGAUGAUGGAAAAAUCAACAUGUGUCAGUCCAUAUUGCUUUGG
Molecule: non-coding RNA, 88 nt
Organism: Chelonoidis abingdonii (Abingdon island giant tortoise)
Lineage: Eukaryota; Metazoa; Chordata; Testudines; Testudinidae
Source: RefSeq, a predicted model, not a curated record